This is a non-coding RNA of 87 nucleotides. It matches the Rfam family "Bacterial small signal recognition particle RNA". From Rfam's summary of the family: The signal recognition particle (SRP) is a universally conserved ribonucleoprotein involved in the co-translational targeting of proteins to membranes. The record is from Rfam.
CCUUGAGACAAAGGUUGACUUACGAAUUGUGUCAGGUCCGGAAGGAAGCAGCACUAAGUAUUUUUGAUCUUGUGUCUCUCGUUUAUA